RNAcentral lists this long non-coding RNA (1338 nucleotides) under Triticum aestivum (bread wheat). RNAcentral's name for it is "long non-coding RNA (TAES_LNC012600)". Lineage: Eukaryota; Viridiplantae; Streptophyta; Magnoliopsida; Poales; Poaceae. The record is from RNAcentral.
GCCGCUGGAAGAAAAAAGGAAGAGGAGGUGGCACAGGGGAGACCUGAAAAGAAGCAUCCAAGGAUCUAUGGCGGGGGAGACCAAGGAGACGCAGGGGAGGGGGUCCAAGGCCAAGCCUUCGCCGCCGGCGGCGUUGGCAGAAGUGGAGGCGAAUCAAAUCCCCUAGGUCAUCGGGGAUUGGUCAAGGACAAGCUCGUCCGGGUCGUCAUGGCCGGCGCCGGCAAAGCGGGAAGGCGGAGGUGUCGUGGACAAGGACCCCAUGGCCACCUUCGCCAAGAGCGUCCGCAUCUUCAUCCACUACUUCUCCGCCACGGACAUGCCUCCUGCCUUGCAUCUCCUUGUUCUUCCUCAUCCUUGUUUUUGCUAUGUUUUUGGGAGUAAUCCUUAUUUGAUUUGAUGCAGUAUUUUAGGUAAUCUGGUUGGCGAAAUUGAUGCUUGUGUAAAAUAUUUGGGGUUUCUUAGGGGGAGAAAAUAGCGGUAGUUAAUUUAUUCGCAUUAGUUAGCCUGCUGGUUUAGGAUCUGCAUCGUUGAGGUCUUUAGCUAAUUCCUCUGUUCUUUGGUCGAGGGAAGACGUCCAAGAUCAUAAUAUUAGGCUUCUCCCCGUGAUGUGAUGUUUAUGGGAUGAUGAUAGUAACAUGAGUGUGAUCUUAUUUGAGAAAAUAGCGGUAGUUAAUUUAUUCGCAUUAGUUAGCCUGCUGGUUUAGGAUCUGCAUCGUUGAGGUCUUUAGCUAAUUGCUCUGUUCUUUGGUCGAGGGGAAGAUGUCCAAGAUCAUAAUAUUAGGCUUCUCCCCGUGAUGUGAUGUUUAUGGGAUGAUGAUAGUAACAUGAGUGUGAUCUUAUUUGCAGGGAAGACCUAUGACAUGUUUGCAAAGACGGAAAGAUACAUAAGAUCAAUGCUGAAUACGUCUUCAAGGUGCUCGAUGGGAUUGAGUUCCUAGGGUUUUUAGAGCCCCUGAUCAAGCAUUUGAAGGUCCGUGUGGUUGUCUACUUGUCUCCUCCAUUCUGUUACAUUCUGCUGUUAUUACUCAGUUGUGUCAGUCAAGCAUAUGUUCUUUGAGUUUAGAUGUUGGAUAGAUAAAUAAUUCUAUGUGAAAAUGCAAAUGAAAGGUGCAGUGGCUCAGUGCUUUAGGUUGUUGGUUACAAUGUGGGACCAUAAAUAAAUAGAAGUUGUUAACCACAAUGGAAGUUCAUUGGCUCUUUAUAUCCUUUUGAACAAGGGAUUGCAUGAAUAUGGGAUUCCUUUUCCUGUAGCGAAUAGCUAUUGUGUUUAGACGCAAUCAUGUUAAAAAGAACAUUCAGCUUUAUUCAAUUGCAUUUGACCCUUUCUACAAUCUUUAG